Molecule: ribosomal RNA, 253 nt
Filed under: uncultured bacterium
Lineage: Bacteria
Description: partial 16S ribosomal RNA
Rfam family: Bacterial small subunit ribosomal RNA
Source: RNAcentral
UACGUAGGGUGCGAGCGUUAAUCGGAAUUACUGGGCGUAAAGUGUGCGCAGGUGGCCACGCAAGUCGAGUGUGAAAUCCCCGAGCUUAACUUGGGAAUUGCGCUCGAAACUACGUGGCUCGAGUGUGGCAGAGGAAGGUGGAAUUCCACGUGUAGCGGUGAAAUGCGUAGAGAUGUGGAGGAACACCGAUGGCGAAGGCAGCCUUCUGGGCCAACACUGACGCUCAUGCACGAAAGCGUGGGGAGCAAACAGG